Molecule: ribosomal RNA, 1413 nt
Filed under: uncultured bacterium
Lineage: Bacteria
Description: partial 16S ribosomal RNA
Rfam family: Bacterial small subunit ribosomal RNA
Source: RNAcentral
AGAGUUUGAUCCUGGCUCAGGACGAACGCUGGCGGCGUGCCUAAUACAUGCAAGUCGAGCGGAAAUUUUAUUGGUGCUUGCACCUUUAAAAUUUCAGCGGCGGACGGGUGAGUAACACGUGGGUAACCUGCCUUAUAGAUUGGGAUAACUCCGGGAAACCGGGGCUAAUACCGAAUAAUACUUUUAAACACAUGUUUGAAAGUUGAAAGACGGUCUUGCUGUCACUAUAAGAUGGACCCGCGGCGCAUUAGCUAGUUGGUGAGGUAACGGCUCACCAAGGCAACGAUGCGUAGCCGACCUGAGAGGGUGAUCGGCCACACUGGGACUGAGACACGGCCAAGACUCCUACGGGAGGCAGCAGUAGGGAAUCUUCCACAAUGGACGAAAGUCUGAUGGAGCAACGCCGCGUGAGUGAAGAAGGAUUUCGGUUCGUAAAACUCUGUUGCAAGGGAAGAACAAGUAGCGUAGUAACUGGCGCUACCUUGACGGUACCUUGUUAGAAAGCCACGGCUAACUACGUGCCAGCAGCCGCGGUAAUACGUAGGUGGCAAGCGUUGUCCGGAAUUAUUGGGCGUAAAGCGCGCGCAGGUGGUUCUUUAAGUCUGAUGUGAAAGCCCCCGGCUCAACCGGGGAGGGUCAUUGGAAACUGGGGAACUUGAGUGCAGAAGAGAAGAGUGGAAUUCCACGUGUAGCGGUGAAAUGCGUAGAGAUGUGGAGGAACACCAGUGGCGAAGGCGACUCUUUGGUCUGUAACUGACGCUGAGGCGCGAAAGCGUGGGGAGCAAACAGGAUUAGAUACCCUGGUAGUCCACGCCGUAAACGAUGAGUGCUAAGUGUUAGGGGGUUUCCGCCCCUUAGUGCUGCAGUUAACGCAUUAAGCACUCCGCCUGGGGAGUACGGCCGCAAGGCUGAAACUCAAAGGAAUUGACGGGGGCCCGCACAAGCGGUGGAUGAUGUGGUUUAAUUCGAUGCAACGCGAAAAACCUUACCCACCUUUGACAUGUACGGAAGUCGCCAGAGAUGGCUUCGUGCUCGAAAGAGAACCGUAACACAGGUGCUGCAUGGCUGUCGUCAGCUCGUGUCGUGAGAUGUUGGGUUAAGUCCCGCAACGAGCGCAACCCUUGCCAUUAGUUGCUACAUUUAGUUGGGCACUCUAAUGGGACUGCCGGUGACAAACCGGAGGAAGGUGGGGAUGACGUCAAGUCCUCAUGGCGCUUAUAGGUGGGGCUACACACGUCAUACAAUGGCUGGUACAGAAGGUUGCCAACCCGCGAGAGGGAGCCAAUCCUAUAAAGCCAGUCGUAGUCCGGAUCGCAGUCUGCAACUCGACUGCGUGAAGUCGGAAUCGCUAGUAAUCGCGGAUCAGAAUGUCGCGGUGAAUACGUUCCCGGGUCUUGCACACACCGCCCGUCA